This 1264-nucleotide ribosomal RNA is filed under the name Campylobacter jejuni. RNAcentral describes it as "partial 23S ribosomal RNA". It matches the Rfam family "Bacterial large subunit ribosomal RNA", at positions 1074 to 2322 of the family's 2925-position model. Lineage: Bacteria; Pseudomonadati; Campylobacterota; Epsilonproteobacteria; Campylobacterales; Campylobacteraceae. The record is from RNAcentral.
UGUGAAGUUACUUAAACAACCAGGAGGUUGGCUUAGAAGCAGCCAUCCUUUAAAGAAAGCGUAAUAGCUCACUGGUCUAGUGAUUUUGCGCGGAAAAUAUAACGGGGCUAAAGUAAGUACCGAAGCUGUAGACUUAGUUUACUAAGUGGUAGGAGAGCGUUCUAUUUGCGUCGAAGGUAUACCGGUAAGGAGUGCUGGAGCGAAUAGAAGUGAGCAUGCAGGCAUGAGUAGCGAUAAUUAAUGUGAGAAUCAUUAACGCCGUAAACCCAAGGUUUCCUACGCGAUGCUCGUCAUCGUAGGGUUAGUCGGGUCCUAAGUCGAGUCCGAAAGGGGUAGACGAUGGCAAAUUGGUUAAUAUUCCAAUACCAACAUUAGUGUGCGAUGGAAGGACGCUUAGGGCUAAGGGGGCUAGCGGAUGGAAGUGCUAGUCUAAGGUCGUAGGAGGUUAUACAGGCAAAUCCGUAUAACAAUACUCCGAGAACUGAAAGGCUUUUUGAAGUCUUCGGAUGGAUAGAAGAACCCCUGAUGCCGUCGAGCCAAGAAAAGUUUCUAAGUUUAGCUAAUGUUGCCCGUACCGUAAACCGACACAGGUGGGUGGGAUGAGUAUUCUAAGGCGCGUGGAAGAACUCUCUUUAAGGAACUCUGCAAAAUAGCACCGUAUCUUCGGUAUAAGGUGUGGUUAGCUUCGUACUAGGAUUUACUCCGAAAGCGAAGAAACUUACAACAAAGAGUCCCUCCCGACUGUUUACCAAAAACACAGCACUCUGCUAACUCGUAAGAGGAUGUAUAGGGUGUGACGCCUGCCCGGUGCUCGAAGGUUAAUUGAUGGGGUUAGCAUUAGCGAAGCUCUUGAUCGAAGCCCGAGUAAACGGCGGCCGUAACUAUAACGGUCCUAAGGUAGCGAAAUUCCUUGUCGGUUAAAUACCGACCUGCAUGAAUGGCGUAACGAGAUGGGAGCUGUCUCAAAGAGGGAUCCAGUGAAAUUGUAGUGGAGGUGAAAAUUCCUCCUACCCGCGGCAAGACGGAAAGACCCCGUGGACCUUUACUACAGCUUGACACUGCUACUUGGAUAAGAAUGUGCAGGAUAGGUGGGAGGCUUUGAGUAUAUGACGCCAGUUGUAUAUGAGCCAUUGUUGAGAUACCACUCUUUCUUAUUUGGGUAGCUAACCAGCUUGAGUUAUCCUCAAGUGGGACAAUGUCUGGUGGGUAGUUUGACUGGGGCGGUCGCCUCCCAAAUAAUAACGGAGGCUUACAAAGGUUGGCU